UGGGGAAUAUUGCACAAUGGGCGCAAGCCUGAUGCAGCCAUGCCGCGUGUAUGAAGAAGGCCUUCGGGUUGUAAAGUACUUUCAGCGGGGAGGAAGGGAGUGAGGUUAAUAACCUUAUUCAUUGACGUUACCCGCAGAAGAAGCACCGGCUAACUCCGUGCCAGCAGCCGCGGUAAUACGGAGGGUGCAAGCGUUAAUCGGAAUUACUGGGCGUAAAGCGCACGCAGGCGGUCUGUCAAGUCGGAUGUGAAAUCCCCGGGCUCAACCUGGGAACUGCAUUCGAAACUGGCAGGCUGGAGUCUUGUAGAGGGGGGUAGAAUUCCAGGUGUAGCGGUGAAAUGCGUAGAGAUCUGGAGGAAUACCGGUGGCGAAGGCGGCCCCCUGGACAAAGACUGACGCUCAGGUGCGAAAGCGUGGGGAGCAAACA
This 427-nucleotide ribosomal RNA is filed under the name uncultured bacterium. Its description in RNAcentral is "bacterial SSU rRNA". It matches the Rfam family "Bacterial small subunit ribosomal RNA", at positions 355 to 774 of the family's 1533-position model. RNAcentral also lists the same sequence under 1 other name. The record is from RNAcentral.